UUCCGGUUGAUCCUGCCGGAGGCCAUUGCUAUCGGAGUCCGAUUNAGCCAUGCUAGUCGUGCGAGUUCAGACUCGCGGCACCGAGCUCAGUAACACGUGGCCAAACUACCCUACAAGAGACAAAUACCCUCGGGAAACUGAGGUUAACCCGUCAUACCGAUCUCAGGCUUGAAUCGCAGAGAUCACAAAACGCCCCGGCGCUGUAGGAUGUGGCUGCGGUUGAUUAGGUAGACGGUGGGGUAACGGCCCACCGUGCCCAUAAUCAGUACAGGUUGUGAGAGCAAGAACCUGGAGACGGAANCUGAGACAAGAUUCCGGGCCCUACGGGGCGCAGCAGGCGCGAAACCUUUACACUGCACGCACGUGCGAUAAGGGGACUCCGAGUGCGAGGGCAUAUCGUCCUCGCUUUCGUGUACNGUAGGGUGGUACACCAACAAGGGCUGGGCAAGACCGGUGCCAGCCGCCGCGGUAAUACCGGCAGCCCGAGUGAUGGCCGAUCUUAUUGGGCCUAAAGCGUCCGUAGCUGGCUGCGCAAGUCCGUCGGGAAAUCCACCCGCCCACGGGUGGGCGUCCGGUAGAAACUGGCCGGCUUGGAACCGGAAGGCUCAGAGAGUACGUCCGGGGUAGGAGUGAAAUCCCGUAAUCCCGGACGGACUACCGAUGGCGAAAGCACUCUGAGAAGACGGCUUCGACAGUGAGGGACGAAAGCUCGGGUCUCAAACCGGAUUAGAUACCCGGGUAGUCCGAGCUGUAAACGAUGCUCGUUAGGUGUGGCACCCACUACGAGUGGGUGCUGCGCCGUAGGGAAGCCGCUAAACGAGCCGCCUGGGAAGUACGUCCGCAAGGAUGAAACUUAAAGGAAUUGGCGGGGGAGCACUACAACCGGAGGAGCCUGCGGUUUAAUUGGACUCAACGCCGGACAUCUCACCAGCCCCGACAUCAGUAAUGACAGUCAUGUUGACGACAUCCACUCGAGCUGAUGAGAGGAGGUGCAUGGCCGCCGUCAGCUCGUACCGUGAGGCAUCCUGUUAAGUCAGGCAACGAGCGAGAUCCACGUUCCUAAUUGCCAGCACCACCGCACGGUGGGUGGGUACAUUAGGAGGACUGCCAGUGUUAAACUGGAGGAAGGAACGGGCAACGGUAGGUCAGUAUGCCCCGAAUAAGCUGGGCAACACGCGGGCUACAAUGGCUAAGACAAUGGGUCGCUAUCUCGACAGAGAACGCUAAUCUCGAAACUUAGUCGUAGUUCGGAUUGAGGGCUGAAACUCGCCCUCAUGAAGCUGGAUUCGGUAGUAGCCGCCUUUCAGUAGAAGGCGACGAAUACGUCCCUGCUCCUUGCACACACCGCCCGUCAAAGCACCCGAGUGAGGUCCGGAUGAGGCUAUCAUUGAUAGUCGAAUCUGGGCUUCGCAAGGGGGCUUAAGUCGUAACAAGGUAACC
RNAcentral lists this ribosomal RNA (1440 nucleotides) under uncultured haloarchaeon. RNAcentral describes it as "bacterial SSU rRNA". It matches the Rfam family "Archaeal small subunit ribosomal RNA". The record is from RNAcentral. Lineage: Archaea; Methanobacteriati; Methanobacteriota; Halobacteria; Halobacteriales; Halobacteriaceae.